Molecule: ribosomal RNA, 429 nt
Filed under: Chloroflexota bacterium
Lineage: Bacteria; Bacillati; Chloroflexota
Description: Chloroflexi bacterium partial 16S ribosomal RNA
Rfam family: Bacterial small subunit ribosomal RNA
Source: RNAcentral
UGGGGAAUAUUGCACAAUGGGCGCAAGCCUGAUGCAGCCAUGCCGCGUGUAUGAAGAAGGCCUUCGGGUUGUAAAGUACUUUCAGUCGGGAGGAAGGUGUCAAGGUUAAUAACCUUGGCAAUUGACGUUACCGACAGAAGAAGCACCGGCUAACUCCGUGCCAGCAGCCGCGGUAAUACGGAGGGUGCAAGCGUUAAUCGGAAUUACUGGGCGUAAAGCGCACGCAGGCGGUUUGUUAAGUCAGAUGUGAAAUCCCCGGGCUCAACCUGGGAACUGCAUCUGAUACUGGCAAGCUUGAGUCUCGUAGAGGGGGGUAGAAUUCCAGGUGUAGCGGUGCAAUGCGUAGAGAUCUGGAGGAAUACCGGUGGCGAAGGCGGCCCCCUGGACGAAGACUGACGCUCAGGUGCGAAAGCGUGGGGAGCAAACAGG